RNAcentral lists this ribosomal RNA (253 nucleotides) under uncultured bacterium. Its description in RNAcentral is "partial 16S ribosomal RNA". It matches the Rfam family "Bacterial small subunit ribosomal RNA", at positions 524 to 776 of the family's 1533-position model. The record is from RNAcentral.
UACGUAGGGAGCAAGCGUUGUCCGGAAUCAUUGGGCGUAAAGCGCGCGUAGGUGGCCCUGUAAGUCCGUUGUGAAAAUCAAAGGCUCAACCUUUGAAAGCCGAUGGAUACUGCAGGGCUAGAGUACGGAAGAGGCGAGUGGAAUUCCUGGUGUAGCGGUGGAAUGCGCAGAUAUCAGGAGGAACACCAAUAGCGAAGGCAGCUCGCUGGGACGUUACUGACACUGAGACGCGAAAGCGUGGGGAGCAAACAGG